ACUCCUACGGGAGGCAGCAGUAGGGAAUCUUCCGCAAUGGACGAAAGUCUGACGGAGCAACGCCGCGUGAGUGAUGAAGGUUUUCGGAUCGUAAAGCUCUGUUGUUAGGGAAUAACAAGUGCCGUUCAAAUAGGGCGGCGCCUUGACGGUACCUAACCAGAAAGCCACGGCUAACUACGUGCCAGCAGCCGCGGUAAUACA
This 201-nucleotide ribosomal RNA is filed under the name uncultured bacterium. RNAcentral describes it as "partial 16S ribosomal RNA". It matches the Rfam family "Bacterial small subunit ribosomal RNA", at positions 335 to 527 of the family's 1533-position model. The record is from RNAcentral.